UCCCCCUUAUUUAAUCUGGCGAGUGAAGCGGCAAAAGCUCAAAUUUGAAAUCUGGCACCUCUGGAGUCCGAGUUGUACUUUGGAGAGGCAUCUUCGGGAGGGGCCCCGCCUAUGUGCCUUGGAACAAGGCGUCCUCAUAGGGGGAAAUCCCGUCCUUGGCUGGAUGUUCCCCUCCUGGAUGUAGUGUCUUCUACAAUUCAAGUUGUUUGGAAAUGCAGUUUAAAUGGGAUGGUAAUUUUCAUCAAAUCCUAAUACUGGGGAAGACCGAAUAGCGCAAAGUAAUAGUGAUCAGGGAAUGUAAAAACUUUGAAAAAAAGUUCAAACACCGUUGUGUGUUUAUUGAAAGGCCGCUUGAGCCACUUAAGGUUUGGCUUAAACUGUCCCUUCUGGGGGUGUCUUGUCUGGUUGACCCCAUCCAUUUUGGUACUGGAGAAAGGGGUGGGGAAUGUUACUCCCUUAUGGAGCGUAUAGCCAAAGCUCAUUGCUGUGCCUGGAACGGUGGCCCUCCAUUCGGCACGAAUGCUGGCUUAUGGGCCUUCACCGCCCCUUCUUGAACCACGAACAAAGGAUCCUAACGUCUAUGCAAUUGUUUGGGCUCCAAACCCUCACCCUUAAUGAAAUUAAAUGGAGUUGGAAACCCUGAAAUGAGCGCACCAUCGACCGUCCCUGAUGUAUUCGGAUUGAUUUGAGAAAGAGCAUAUUUGUUGCGACACGAGGGAGAGAGAACUAUGCCUGAGUUGGGUGAAGCCGGAAAAAACUCUGGGUGGACGCUCGCAGCCGUUUCUGACUAUCUAAUCGAUCGAUAUAUUUUGGUUAUGUGGGAGAACUAACUAUCUUUCCAUCUAAUAGGUGGUUCCCUGCGUAUUCUCCCCUAAGAACUGUAAACACCACAUCUAUCUCGUCAAAUCUCUACUCCCCUCA
RNAcentral lists this ribosomal RNA (921 nucleotides) under Tuber sinopuberulum. RNAcentral describes it as "eukaryotic LSU rRNA". It matches the Rfam family "Eukaryotic large subunit ribosomal RNA", at positions 73 to 1032 of the family's 3401-position model. Lineage: Eukaryota; Fungi; Ascomycota; Pezizomycetes; Pezizales; Tuberaceae. The record is from RNAcentral.